AACAGUAGUCUCGGUCAGAAAAUAAAGGCAGACUGAAGCCCUUGGACAUCAAAGUUAUGAAACUGCUACACGAGAAAGUCAACGUCAUCCCUCUGAUUGCGAAAGCUGACUCCCUCACCCCAGAGGAAUGUCAGCAGUUCAAGAAACAGAUCUUUGACUGGAGACUGUGGAGAGGUUACAUGCAUGCCAGAAAAACUUGAUGUGGCAGAUGAGAUUGAGAUAGAGGAGACAGACAGUGCAGGGACAGGAGGAGGACAGGAGGAGGACAGAGGAGGACAGUAAGCAGGAAGGAAGAAAUCAUGUGGCAUCACAGGCCGUUCACUACAAUCAUUGACACUUCCUUUGAGAAUCCUCCAGUUCAUGAGGAUCAUCCCAUGAGACCCUAUGAAUACUUCAAACAGUAUAUACCAGAUGAGAGCUUCAGUUUGAUGGCCGACAACACAAAUGUUUGUGCCUUGCAAAGUGGUACACUAGGUUUCAAACCAACAAGUUCAGGAGAGAUCAGAACCCUAAUCGGUCUCCACCUUGCAAUGGGAGUGAUAAAAAUGCCAAGAGUCUCCAUGUACUGGGAAGCCGGGAUGGACAUAGGAAUUUUCCAAAACACCGUGCCCCGUGACAGAUUCUUCCAGCUCCGGUCACAUUUGCAUUUGGUCAACAAUUUGGAGAAGCCAGCUGAGAACAAUGAUGUGUUUUUUCAAGGUACGUCCUCUCUAUGAUGCCAUACGCAAUAGAUGCUUGAAACUUCCACUAGAGGAGAACCUUUGCGUGGAUGAACAAAUGGUGCCAUUUCGCAGAACUCUGUCUGUCAAGCAAUUCAUCAAAGGCAGGCCACACCCAUGGGGGGUGAAAAUAUACUUCCUGUGUGGGAAAAGUGGCACGGCCUACGACUUCCUGCUGCACCAAGGCACUAUAAUGGAGCUAUCACAACAGCACAGAAAGCAGCUGGGCCUUGGAGCUGGAGUGGCGUACCAUCUAAGCCAGCGAAUCACUGAGGCCAACCACAAGUUGUAUUUUGACAACUAUUUCACAACGUACAGUCUUCUGGAGCUGCUGGCUGAGAGGAAAAUUCAUGCCACUGGGACAGCAAGGGUCUCUCGCUUUGCCAGGCCUCCUCUACAGUCUGACAAAGAGAUGGCCAAAAAGCCUCGAGGAAGCUGUGAUGAAGUUGUAAGCCGUGAUGGUAAGGUGGCACUGGUCAAAUGGUAUGACAACAGAUCAGUUCUCAUGGCCUCAAACUUUGUUGGUGUUGGCAGAAUGGAUGA
This is a non-coding RNA of Plectropomus leopardus (leopard coralgrouper), 1262 nucleotides long. The record is from RefSeq and is a predicted model, not a curated record. NCBI's taxonomy places the organism in Eukaryota, Metazoa, Chordata, Actinopteri, Perciformes, Serranidae.